This 459-nucleotide ribosomal RNA is filed under the name uncultured bacterium. RNAcentral's name for it is "partial 16S ribosomal RNA". It matches the Rfam family "Bacterial small subunit ribosomal RNA", at positions 338 to 795 of the family's 1533-position model. The record is from RNAcentral.
CCUACGGGAGGCAGCAGUGAGGAAUAUUGGUCAAUGGGCGGGAGCCUGAACCAGCCAAGCCGCGUGAGGGAAGAAGGUCCAGCGUAUCGUAAACUUCUUUUGUCAGGGAACAAAGGCGGGGACUAGUCCCCGGAUGAGGGUACCUGAAGAAAAAGCAUCGGCUAACUCCGUGCCAGCAGCCGCGGUAAUACGGAGGAUGCGAGCGUUAUCCGGAUUUAUUGGGUUUAAAGGGUGGGCAGGCGGCCUGUUAAGUCAGCGGUAAAAGCCCGGGGCUAAACCCCGACGUGCCGUUGAAACUGGCGGGCUGGAGUUGGGGAGAGGUACGCGGAAUGCGCGGUGUAGCGGUGAAAUGCUUAGAUAUCGCGCAGAACCCCGAUUGCGAAGGCAGCGUACCGGCUCCACACUGACGCUGAGGCACGAAAGCGUGGGUAGCGAACAGGAUUAGAUACCCCUGUAGUC